RNAcentral lists this ribosomal RNA (349 nucleotides) under Platypelis sp. 8 MV-2009. RNAcentral describes it as "partial 12S ribosomal RNA". It matches the Rfam family "Bacterial small subunit ribosomal RNA", at positions 864 to 1384 of the family's 1533-position model. The record is from RNAcentral. Lineage: Eukaryota; Metazoa; Chordata; Amphibia; Anura; Microhylidae.
UACACCCGCCAGGGAAUUACGAGCCCAACCUUAAAACCCAAAGGACUUGACGGUGCCCCACCCACCUAGAGGAGCCUGUUCUAUAAUCGACACCCCCCGAUAUACCUUACCACUUCUAGCUACUCAGUCUGUAUACCUCCGUCGUAAGCUUACCAUGUGAACGCACUAGUGAGCUAAAAGAUCUAACAUCAACACGUCAGGUCAAGGUGCAGCUUACGAAGCGGAAAGCAAUGGGCUACAAUUUCUAUGACAGAACACACGAAAAACUACAUGCAACACAGUCACGAAGGUGGAUUUAGUAGUAAAAAGAAAACAGAGAGUUCUUUUUAAUUAUGGCGCUGGGACGCGU